This 468-nucleotide ribosomal RNA is filed under the name uncultured bacterium. RNAcentral's name for it is "partial 16S ribosomal RNA". It matches the Rfam family "Bacterial small subunit ribosomal RNA", at positions 28 to 507 of the family's 1533-position model. The record is from RNAcentral.
GACGAACGCUGGCGGCGUGCUUAACACAUGCAAGUCGAACGGAAAGGCCCUGCUUUUGUGGGGUGCUCGAGUGGCGAACGGGUGAGUAACACGUGAGUAACCUGCCCUUGACUUUGGGAUAACUUCAGGAAACUGGGGCUAAUACCGGAUAGGAGCUCCUGCUGCAUGGUGGGGGUUGGAAAGUUUCGGCGGUUGGGGAUGGACUCGCGGCUUAUCAGCUUGUUGGUGGGGUAGUGGCUUACCAAGGCUUUGACGGGUAGCCGGCCUGAGAGGGUGGCCGGCCACAUUGGGACUGAGAUACGGCCCAGACUCCUACGGGAGGCAGCAGUGGGGAAUAUUGCACAAUGGGCGGAAGCCUGAUGCAACAACGCCGCGUGCGGGAUGACGGCCUUCGGGUUGUAAACCGCUUUCGCCUGUGACGAAGCGUGAGUGACGGUAAUGGGUAAAGAAGCACCGGCUAACUACGUG